UGGGGAAUAUUGGACAAUGGGCGAAAGCCUGAUCCAGCCAUGCCGCGUGUGUGAAGAAGGUCUUCGGAUUGUAAAGCACUUUAAGUUGGGAGGAAGGGUUGUAGAUUAAUACUCUGCAAUUUUGACGUUACCGACAGAAUAAGCACCGGCUAACUCUGUGCCAGCAGCCGCGGUAAUACAGAGGGAGCAAGCGUUAAUCGGAAUUACUGGGCGUAAAGCGCGCGUAGGUGGUUAGUUAAGUUGGAUGUGAAAUCCCCGGGCUCAACCUGGGAACUGCAUUCAAAACUGACUGACUAGAGUAUGGUAGAGGGUGGUGGAAUUUCCUGUGUAGCGGUGAAAUGCGUAGAUAUAGGAAGGAACACCAGUGGCGAAGGCGACCACCUGGACUGAUACUGACACUGAGGUGCGAAAGCGUGGGGAGCAAACA
Molecule: ribosomal RNA, 427 nt
Filed under: uncultured bacterium
Lineage: Bacteria
Description: partial 16S ribosomal RNA
Rfam family: Bacterial small subunit ribosomal RNA
Source: RNAcentral